RNAcentral lists this ribosomal RNA (409 nucleotides) under bacterium enrichment culture clone ALO1_GLFRUDD03HCZBA. RNAcentral describes it as "bacterial SSU rRNA". It matches the Rfam family "Bacterial small subunit ribosomal RNA", at positions 9 to 420 of the family's 1533-position model. The record is from RNAcentral.
GAGUUUGAUCGUGGCUCAGAUUGAACGCUGGCGGCAUGCCUUACACAUGCAAGUCGAACGGCAGCACGGGAGCUUGCUCCUGGUGGCGAGUGGCGAACGGGUGAGUAAUGCAUCGGAACGUAUCCUGGAGUGGGGGAUAACGUAGCGAAAGUUACGCUAAUACCGCAUAUUCUGUGAGCAGGAAAGCGGGGGACCUUCGGGCCUCGCGCUCUUGGAGCGGCCGAUGUCGGAUUAGCUAGUUGUGAGGUAAAGGCUCACCAAGGCGACGAUCCGUAGCAGGUCUGAGAGGAUGAUCUGCCACACUGGAACUGAGACACGGUCCAGACUCCUACGGGAGGCAGCAGUGGGAAUUUUGGGACAAUGGGGGCAACCCUGAUCCAGCCAUGCGCGUGAGUGAAGAAGGCCUCGG